CUAAGCGAGGAAUCCAAAGCGUACCUCUGUGGCGUGGUCUCACUAAGGUUUGUUCCAAACCCUGUUUGUAUUUACCCGGAAACGGUCAGGUCAGUAAACUCUUAAGUGAUCCUCGUUGUAUCUAGAAACGCAGUGAGAAAGUAAAGGAAGUGCUUAAUGCCUGGUCCCCCGGCAUUAUCUUGCUUCAGCAGACUUGAAUACGUGUGGCAUUUUUUGGAAUAUGUCAUUUUAUUUAUUUUAAAUAAAUUUUUAUUUUAAGAGGGAACCAUUUACCUAAAUCUUCCAUUUUCCACAAUAAGCAAAUUUAGGAGAUGUUUGCGCUGUACGAAGGGGAAUAAACUAUAGUAACUGAAGUUGGAGGUCCGCAAAAGGGUCGGAGGCCAGCUCAAUCUGAAUUAUUGGAAGGAGGGGAACCUGGGGCUGUUGCCUGCUUUCGCCUUCUCAUGUUCGUUGUCCCUGUUGUUGAAGAAAAAAAAUAGUAACUGGGUAAUUGUGUAAGAUUUGGGCGAAGAAUUUCGAUUUGACGGCUUGGAGGCAUUUUGGAACAAGCUUAGGUUAAGGGAUGGAGGGGAAGAAAGAAAAAAGAAAAAAAUACAACCGGAGUAGUUCUGCUGCAGCAGAAAUUUCAUUUUUCCUCGUGGGCAGUCUUUCCUCCCCCCUCCCCUCUUUUUUUUCCCCCUAAAAAUGAGUCUGAGCUUUCCUCUCCACCUCGGUCCUUGAGGUAGGUAACUUAAAGACCAUCAGAUAAAAACUUUCAACUCUUCUUUCAACUCCUUGCCACUCCCCUUCUCUAAAUUUAUCUUUACAGAGUCAGGGAAUAACAACCCCCUGUUGUACCUUCUUAACUCAAACCCAGUAGUUCAGAAUUCUUGUCUCUGGCUCUGUGUGUGUGUCUCCCUCAGAGAUUCUGAGUUCUUUCACCUUAAAAAACAACCCUCCCGUUUCCCCCUUUGACUCUGCCUCUUUCAAAAUGGAAUAAAGCGGGAGGGGCCAAAGAAUGAGGCAUACAUUAAAGUACAUUACAGGCAUAUAUUAAAGUACAUUGAUUGAAAGCAAAAGGACUCUACAAUGUAAAUAAACUGAAGUUAAUGAGCCUCCCUUGAGAAAUUAAGAGGGAAUGUUGCAGAAUGAUAGUUUCCCCCAAAGUCUGUUUCAACCUUUCAUUACCCUGAUAAAUUUAUAGUUGGACACAGGAAGUUCCAGUUAGAGACCACAUUUCCCAGUUGACCUUACAACCUAGUGUGGUUAAGUUCUCACCAGUGGAACAAGAAUGCAGUGUUACAGGUGAUCUGUAACUCUUGCUUAAAAAUAAAUCGUUGCCCUCCGUUUCUGCUCUUUUGAGGUUGGAGGUCCGCAAAAGUGUCUGAGGCCAACUCAAUCUGAAUUAUUGGAAGGAGGGAAACCUAGGGCUGUUGCCUGCUUUCGCCUUCUCAUGUUCGUUGUCCCUGCUCCAGCGCUAGGUGGCGCCAGUGCACACCCGCUGUAGCGCUCCAGCUUUAACCAAGCAAAGGAGGAAAAAUAUCUCACCCAGAGGAUGCGAAAACUUGCAGAGGAAAGAAACCAGGAUGCGUGAAUGAAAAUGGAGCUGAACCACCCUGCUAGUCAGAACCAUUCCUAUCUCUGUUCUCGGCGGAUACAACAUCUUUGUUUGUAUGUGGUGCUGAGGAUCAAACCCGGGCCACACACAUGCCAGGCGAGCGCGCUACCGCUUGAGCCACAUCCCCAGCCCAAGAAUUAUGUUCUUUUGAUUGUAAGAUUUUAUUAAAAUAGUGAGUCCCUUUGUGCAUUCA
Molecule: long non-coding RNA, 1790 nt
Organism: Marmota monax (woodchuck)
Lineage: Eukaryota; Metazoa; Chordata; Mammalia; Rodentia; Sciuridae
Exons: 2
Source: RefSeq, a predicted model, not a curated record